UUUUAUGAGAGUUUGAUCCUGGCUCAGGACGAACGCUGGCGGCGUGCCUAAUACAUGCAAGUCGAACGCUUCUUUUUCCACCGGAGCUUGCUCCACCGGAAAAAGAGGAGUGGCGAACGGGUGAGUAACACGUGGGUAACCUGCCCAUCAGAAGGGGAUAACACUUGGAAACAGGUGCUAAUACCGUAUAACAAUCGAAACCGCAUGGUUUUGAUUUGAAAGGCGCUUUCGGGUGUCGCUGAUGGAUGGACCCGCGGUGCAUUAGCUAGUUGGUGAGGUAACGGCUCACCAAGGCCACGAUGCAUAGCCGACCUGAGAGGGUGAUCGGCCACAUUGGGACUGAGACACGGCCCAAACUCCUACGGGAGGCAGCAGUAGGGAAUCUUCGGCAAUGGACGAAAGUCUGACCGAGCAACGCCGCGUGAGUGAAGAAGGUUUUCGGAUCGUAAAACUCUGUUGUUAGAGAAGAACAAGGAUGAGAGUAACUGUUCAUCCCUUGACGGUAUCUAACCAGAAAGCCACGGCUAACUACGUGCCAGCAGCCGCGGUAAUACGUAGGUGGCAAGCGUUGUCCGGAUUUAUUGGGCGUAAAGCGAGCGCAGGCGGUUUCUUAAGUCUGAUGUGAAAGCCCCCGGCUCAACCGGGGAGGGUCAUUGGAAACUGGGAGACUUGAGUGCAGAAGAGGAGAGUGGAAUUCCAUGUGUAGCGGUGAAAUGCGUAGAUAUAUGGAGGAACACCAGUGGCGAAGGCGGCUCUCUGGUCUGUAACUGACGCUGAGGCUCGAAAGCGUGGGGAGCAAACAGGAUUAGAUACCCUGGUAGUCCACGCCGUAAACGAUGAGUGCUAAGUGUUGGAGGGUUUCCGCCCUUCAGUGCUGCAGCUAACGCAUUAAGCACUCCGCCUGGGGAGUACGACCGCAAGGUUGAAACUCAAAGGAAUUGACGGGGGCCCGCACAAGCGGUGGAGCAUGUGGUUUAAUUCGAAGCAACGCGAAGAACCUUACCAGGUCUUGACAUCCUUUGACCACUCUAGAGAUAGAGCUUCCCCUUCGGGGGCAAAGUGACAGGUGGUGCAUGGUUGUCGUCAGCUCGUGUCGUGAGAUGUUGGGUUAAGUCCCGCAACGAGCGCAACCCUUAUUGUUAGUUGCCAUCAUUCAGUUGGGCACUCUAGCAAGACUGCCGGUGACAAACCGGAGGAAGGUGGGGAUGACGUCAAAUCAUCAUGCCCCUUAU
RNAcentral lists this ribosomal RNA (1232 nucleotides) under Enterococcus faecium. Its description in RNAcentral is "bacterial SSU rRNA". It matches the Rfam family "Bacterial small subunit ribosomal RNA", at positions 1 to 1205 of the family's 1533-position model. Lineage: Bacteria; Bacillati; Bacillota; Bacilli; Lactobacillales; Enterococcaceae. RNAcentral also lists the same sequence under 1 other name. The record is from RNAcentral.